CUUGUUCGUGCCUGAGCCUUCAGGUUGCUCAUACAUAACUGAAAACAUUUAAUUUAAGCAAGGAUGAGCAUUUGAGUGCCCAACAAGUAAUAACAAUUAUAUAUAUAAGCUGAAAGAAUAUAAGUAUUCUCUUUACAUAACACUUCUACAACGAAUCGAAAGUUGUGAAGUAAUCUGUACUGAUAAAAAAUUCACAUAACAACUCUCUUUCAAUUUCUUGAAAUUAGGCUCCACCCAUGAAUAGGGUUUAAGAAACAUACUAUGAACAUUCUUUUCAUUUUCGAAAAGGUUUAGCAGAAAUCCAUCCGCAAACAGUCAUAACUUACGGGCACGGAGGGUGAUCAGACCCGUUAUACCAUGUAUUGAUCAAUACUACAUAACUUGAACGAAAUUCAUCGCUCACUCUGUCCGCCUUGGGCGCAAAAAUUUUCCCAUAUAGGGAUGUUCAUACAUGCCUGGUUCCAAACCCGAAGGUUUUUAAUCUUGCUCAACAAUAAUAUGUAAUUCAACAUAUAUGUAUACGGGUAAUUGACAAAGGUAUAUCAACAUGUGAAUAAAUGCCAUGAUUAUCCAAGUGGGGACACUUGUAUAACCAUUUAGAAAUCAACUUAACAGAAUAUAUAUCUGAGCUAACAUGUUGAUAAUCAAAGCGUACAUAAUCUGUACAGGAAUAGAAUAAUUCUGAAACUUCUUACUC
This 697-nucleotide long non-coding RNA is filed under the name Panax ginseng (ginseng). RNAcentral's name for it is "long non-coding RNA (PGIN_LNC009814)". Lineage: Eukaryota; Viridiplantae; Streptophyta; Magnoliopsida; Apiales; Araliaceae. The record is from RNAcentral.